This 112-nucleotide ribosomal RNA is filed under the name Pteropus alecto (black flying fox). The record is from RNAcentral. Lineage: Eukaryota; Metazoa; Chordata; Mammalia; Chiroptera; Pteropodidae.
GUCUACGGCUGUGCCACCCUGAACAAGCCUGAUGUCUGAUCUUGGAAGCUAAGCAGGGUAGGGUCUGGUUAGUAUUUGGAUGGGAGACCACCUAUUAUUUAUGCUGUAGGCA